Molecule: ribosomal RNA, 453 nt
Filed under: uncultured Bacteroidota bacterium
Lineage: Bacteria; Pseudomonadati; Bacteroidota
Description: bacterial SSU rRNA
Rfam family: Bacterial small subunit ribosomal RNA
Source: RNAcentral
CAGAGGUAGCUUGCUACUUGCUGACGACCGGCGCACGGGUGCGUAACGCGUAUACAAUCUGCCUUAUACAGAGGGAUAGCCUUUAGAAAUGAAGAUUAAUACCUCAUGGUCUAUUAAUAUAGCAUUAUAUAAAUAGUAAAGCUUCGGCGGUAUAAGAUGAGUAUGCGUCCUAUUAGUUAGUUGGUAAGGUAACGGCUUACCAAGACAACGAUAGGUAGGGGCCCUGAGAGGGGGAUCCCCCACACUGGUACUGAGACACGGACCAGACUCCUACGGGAGGCAGCAGUGAGGAAUAUUGGACAAUGGAGGUAACUCUGAUCCAGCCAUGCCGCGUGCAGGAAGACGGCCCUAUGGGUUGUAAACUGCUUUUAUAUAGGAAGAAACCUUUUCACGUGUGAGAAGCUGACGGUACUAUAAGAAUAAGGACCGGCUAACUCCGUGCCAGCAGCCGCG